RNAcentral lists this long non-coding RNA (602 nucleotides) under Sinocyclocheilus rhinocerous. RNAcentral's name for it is "lncRNA (ENSSRHG00000047418.1)". Lineage: Eukaryota; Metazoa; Chordata; Actinopteri; Cypriniformes; Cyprinidae. The record is from RNAcentral.
GGACUGCCUUCAGCCAGGAGACUGUGGAGCAGAAGAUAGUGCCUGGUGGCCAUUGGUGGCCUUCUACCGAAAAACCAAACCUUCCUCUCUCUCCUCUCCAUAAUGUGUCAAAUGUGUUUCUAGAGGCAUUUCCCUCAGAAAAGUCCCCCUGUGAAGAUCCUGAAUACAUUCCUACACUAAAGCAGCUUCUGCAAGGACCAGCUGAAAACAGCAAUACAGGGGAACACAAGGAGCAGAGCUUACUUGAUGGCCUCCAGGAUCUAGACCGGAUGAUUGGUGUGAAAUAUAAGAGGGCGGAGUCUCUGUCCUGUAAACUUCUCCUUCAGUCACUGCAUUUGCAACGUCCCAGCUCUGUGAGUCUGCUGUAAUGAAAUAUAAAACCACUGCAAUAAUAUAUAAUGAAAACUUUCCUGGAAUGUGCGACAGUUCGACUGAAGACCAGUGCCAGGUUUUCUCCAAAUCUCCCAACGUCCAACCAGCAAUUAGCUGCAAAUGCUAAGAGAAGACUGUCAUAUGACUUCAACAGAAAUAUCAUGACCUAGUCUCGAUAUCUGCUGAAGCUCUUUGACCUAUGCUUCCUUGAAAACAGGAAAUACAGGACA